CAGCCGCCGCGGUAAAACGUAGGUGGCAAGCGUUGUCCGGAAUUAUUGGGCGUAAAGGGCUCGCAGGCGGUUUCUUAAGUCUGAUGUGAAAGCCCCCGGCUCAACCGGGGAGGGUCAUUGGAAACUGGGAAACUUGAGUGCAGAAGAGGAGAGUGGAAUUCCACGUGUAGCGGUGAAAUGCGUAGAGAUGUGGAGGAACACCAGUGGCGAAGGCGAUUCUCUGGUCUGUAACUGACGCUGAGGAGCGAAAGCGUGGGGAGCGAACAGGAUUAGAUACCCCUGUAGUCCCUGUCUCUUAUAC
RNAcentral lists this ribosomal RNA (301 nucleotides) under uncultured bacterium. RNAcentral's name for it is "partial 16S ribosomal RNA". It matches the Rfam family "Bacterial small subunit ribosomal RNA", at positions 509 to 807 of the family's 1533-position model. The record is from RNAcentral.